Small nuclear RNA from Eptesicus fuscus (big brown bat), 135 nucleotides. RefSeq annotates it as U4 spliceosomal RNA. The transcript has a single exon. The record is from RefSeq and is a predicted model, not a curated record. Lineage: Eukaryota; Metazoa; Chordata; Mammalia; Chiroptera; Vespertilionidae.
AGCUCUGCGCAGUGGCAGUAUCUUGGCCAAUGAGGUUUACCCAAGGCAUGAUUAUUGCUAAUUGAAAAAAUAAUAAUUAAAAUAAAAUUGAAGGAGAAAUAAAGAUCUUGCCAGAUUUCAUUACCACUAAGGUAG